This 270-nucleotide ribosomal RNA is filed under the name uncultured Staphylococcus sp. Its description in RNAcentral is "partial 16S ribosomal RNA". It matches the Rfam family "Bacterial small subunit ribosomal RNA", at positions 96 to 354 of the family's 1533-position model. Lineage: Bacteria; Bacillati; Bacillota; Bacilli; Caryophanales; Staphylococcaceae. The record is from RNAcentral.
CGGCGGACGGGUGAGUAACACGUGGAUAACCUACCUAUAAGACUGGGAUAACUUCGGGAAACCGGAGCUAAUACCGGAUAAUAUAUUGAACCGCAUGGUUCAAUGGUGAAAGACGGUUUUGCUGUCACUUAUAGAUGGAUCCGCGCCGCAUUAGCUAGUUGGUAAGGUAACGGCUUACCAAGGCAACGAUGCGUAGCCGACCUUAGAGGGUGGAUCGGCCCGACCACUGGAACUGAGACACGGUCCAGACUCCUACGGGAGGCAGCAGGC